GGAGAUUUGGCUCAGUGGUUUAAUCCAGUGAUUCAAACUCAGUGGCUCUGUGUUCAAUCCCCAGUAUCUCUU
This 72-nucleotide transfer RNA is filed under the name Marmota monax (woodchuck). Its description in RNAcentral is "tRNA.Leu". The record is from RNAcentral. Lineage: Eukaryota; Metazoa; Chordata; Mammalia; Rodentia; Sciuridae.